GCAGAGGUUGCCCAGCUUGGUCAAAGGCGCUGGGAUGAGGUCCCAGUACAUACCGUUUCGCAGGUUCAAAUCCUGCCCUCUGCA
Molecule: transfer RNA, 84 nt
Filed under: Methanobacteriota archaeon
Lineage: Archaea; Methanobacteriati; Methanobacteriota
Also listed under: 1 other name
Description: Euryarchaeota archaeon tRNA-Leu
Rfam family: tRNA
About the family: Transfer RNA (tRNA) molecules are approximately 80 nucleotides in length. Their secondary structure includes four short double-helical elements and three loops (D, anti-codon, and T loops).
Source: RNAcentral